Molecule: ribosomal RNA, 253 nt
Filed under: uncultured bacterium
Lineage: Bacteria
Description: partial 16S ribosomal RNA
Rfam family: Bacterial small subunit ribosomal RNA
Source: RNAcentral
UACAGAGACUGCAAGCGUUAUUCGGAUUCACUGGGCGUAAAGGGUGCGCAGGCGGUCGUGUGUGUCAGAUGUGAAAUCCCGGAGCUUAACUCCGGAACUGCGUCUGAAACUACACGACUUGAGCAUUGGAGAGGGAAGUGGAAUUCAUGGUGUAGCAGUGAAAUGCGUAGAUAUCGUGAGGAACACCAGAGGCGAAGGCGGCUUACUGGACAAUUGCUGACGCUCAGGCACGAAAGCUUGGGGAGCAAAAGGG